Ailuropoda melanoleuca (giant panda) is the source of this 2884-nucleotide long non-coding RNA. RefSeq lists it as uncharacterized. NCBI's taxonomy places the organism in Eukaryota, Metazoa, Chordata, Mammalia, Carnivora, Ursidae. The transcript has 2 exons. The record is from RefSeq and is a predicted model, not a curated record.
GGCCACCUGGUGUGGGCAAGGAACAGGGAGCAUAUCACGGCUGGCAGAGGCCCUCCCUCGCCCUCCCACACAGACCCGGCAGGGAGGCACUGAAGCACCCAGGAAGGCAGCCACGACCCGGAGUCUCAGGGGGCGGUGCUUUGCACGGGAGGAGUCUGGUAUUCAGUUUAUAGGGGCUCCUGGGGAGCACCGAGUGGGCAGGCGCUAGAGUGAGUACCCGGGUGGUGGCAUGUGGGUGGCCGCAGGAAGGCCUGGUGUGGGAAGAGCAGAGAAGGCUCAGCCAGAAACUGGUGAGAGGGGUGGACUAGGCAGGGCCUCAUGGUCUCAAGGACGGAAGGGUGGAGGUAGGCCAAACACCUAGACUGGGACUGGGGUCUCCUAAAGCAGCGUGGCCAGGAUGUCCCAGUUUGGAGUGUGAUGUGGGCGUGGCUUCACGUGGGCUGGGAAUACUGGGUCUCGGCCAGGAUUGGCUGUAGGGGCAGAGUGGGCGGGGCCUUGGAACCCACUAGGAGGAGUAGGCCCAGAACCCAGGCUGGGAUAUACGAUUACUCAAGAGGGGGCGUGCCGUGGAAAUUCACACUGCGCAAUCUGCAGGGGGCUGAGGACCAGACCUGAGUCAGUGGGAACAGCCAAAGGGGGUAACCGGAGAUGGGCCCACUCCUGCGCUUGGGGAAGGGAGAGACGCCACGUGCAGUGGUCCUUCCGGCAGUGGGGCCGCGCCCCGGGUCCCAGAGGAGUAAAGCAAAGAUCUGGUCCCCUGGCGAAUCCCGCCCCACCUCCGACAACGCAGCCCCGAGGGGAUCCAGCUCCACCCCCAAGCACGUCCAUCCCCAGCGCCCGCAGGGGGCUGAACUCUGCGACCCCGGCCCACCGCUGCGCCCGCACUUACUCCUCCAGCCGGCGGAAGGCCUGCGCGCGCUCAGCUUGCAACUGGUGGAUGCGCUGCACCAGCGCCCGGAUCGGGGCAUCUUUCUACGGAGUGGGGGGCAUGGCUGGGGCAUGAAGUCGGCGCCCCCAAGCCUGCACCGCCCACCCCGCCCCUGUUCCUGCUCGAGCCCGGGCUCACCCAGGGCCACGCCGGCUCCUCGCGCUCCGGGACACCGGUAGCCACCGCAGUACCGGGCACCGAGGGGACAGCGGAGUCCUCCGCGGCCUUGGCAGUGAUCAUGACUGCGCAGCCCCGGCCCCGCCCAGGACGAGGGUGCUCCGCGGCGCCGGGCGCCCCCUGCAGGCCAGGAGGCCUUCCGACCCCAGCCUGUGGCCAGCCAAAACGGAAACCUGAGGACCUGGGGCAAAGACCAGAGUCUUAGGCCUGCCCUGCUCCACCCACCACCCUGCUUGCUCAGGUCGAGCGCCCGCUUUCCAUCGUUUGUCCUCGAUGUAAGGCUUCGUAUACAGCAAGGCCGUCCCUCGGUUUGUAUACAUUUAUCCCAACAUCGACUUCAUUUCAACCUCACAUCCUGCCCCCACUCCAAUAAACAGAACCCUUGUCGUCCAAGGUAACAUGGCUGUGACAUGAGUAUUUGAACAGAGGUUCUGAUACUGGAGAGCCCAAAAGGCUGGAGUCCAGCUGUUUAACAAAUUUAUCAGGCGUUAUGUGCACUCCUCAGAAAUGGGCCUGUGCAAAGGCCCAGAGAGCCUGGGGCAGGGUUAAAGUCAACAGGGCCUCACGUUAAGUGCAAGGAAGGCCUUGCAGCUCUCUGCUGGGGCUACACUAUGUAGUUUGAGCUUUCAGAAGCUGCUUUCUCAAGGGAUAAAUGUGGGAAAGACCAGAAAGGUGUUGGUAGCCUAGCCUAGGGAGCAGGGGGCAGUUGACAGGGAGGAGACCCAUGGAAAAACGGAGACACCAGCCUUUGGCUGGCACCUCAGGGCUCAGCAGAACUACAGGAUCACUGGCCUGGCCUGGGUCGUCAUCUGACACCUAGUCCAAAUCACCCUGAGAUAAAUAAAAGGAUGGCCUUCCCAGAGCCAGUCCAGGGCACUACAAAGCUUAUCUGAUUCUCAAGAGUAUCAGCACAAGUUUUAUAAACACCAAGGCCCAGCCCUCCAAGACUGACCUCACAGGUCUCGGGUAGGGCCCAAGGGCUCAUGUUCAGCAGAAACAGGUUUUACACUAGGUGGGGUGUUUGUCUAUCCACCCACACCUCAACACCCCCAGGGCACAGGCAGGAAAGUCAUCAAAGUGCCUGAGGAGGGGGGCGCCUGGAUGACUCAGUCGUUUGCUAAGUGUCUGCCUUCGGCUCAGGGCAUGAUCCCAGCGUUCUGGGAUCGAGGCCCCGAUCCCGCAUCGGGCUCCUCCACUGGGAGACUGCUUCUUCCUCUCCCACUCCCCCUGCUUGUGUUCCCUCUCUUGCUGGCUGUCUGUCAAAUAAAUAACUAAAAUCUUAAAAAAAAAGAAAAAAAAAAAGUGUGUGAGGAGAGCCCAGCCAGUGACGUGGCUGACCUGCAGUCCCGCAAGAGCCUGGGCUGGGGGCUCUCUAUCCCCAUUUAUAGAUGAAGAAACCUGGACGUGCAGGUUCGCUAGGCUACGUGGCAAAGGGCCGAGACCACAGCACAUUUUACAGAUGAGACAACCACAACCUAAAGGACACAGGACGCUCAAGGGCUAGGCAGACUCAAGUAACAGGAGGGCCUAAGGGACAUGCCCACAACGGAACCAGCUCCUCGUUGGACAGACCACCACACAGACACCAGUUACUGCUCCAGUCAAUGAAAGGGAAACUUUAUUGAGGCCCCAGGGCCUUGGGGCUUGGGCAGGAGGCCGCCCUGCGGGCAAAGGAAGAGCCGGUGGAGGGGCCUUAUUUGACCUUCUUUUUGGGGCGCAGGUUGUUGGUGUGGCCGCACUUCUUCUUGCGGCAGUUGACGGCGCGGGGGUGCAGGCGAG